This 1079-nucleotide ribosomal RNA is filed under the name uncultured bacterium. Its description in RNAcentral is "bacterial SSU rRNA". It matches the Rfam family "Bacterial small subunit ribosomal RNA", at positions 207 to 1280 of the family's 1533-position model. The record is from RNAcentral.
UGAUGCUCUCGCUAUUAGAUGAGCCUGCGUAAGAUUAGCUUGUUGGUGAGGUAAUGGCUCACCAAGGCCACGAUCUUUAGCUGGUCUGAGAGGACGAUCAGCCACAUUGGGACUGAGACACGGCCCAGACUCCUACGGGAGGCAGCAGUGGGGAAUAUUGGACAAUGGGCGCAAGCCUGAUCCAGCCAUACCGCGUGUGUGAAGAAGGCCUUCGGGUUGUAAAGCACUUUAAGCAGGGAGAAAAAGCAAUAAGUUAAUACCUUAUUGGCGUGAUGUUACCUGCAGAAUAAGCACCGGCUAAUUCCGUGCCAGCAGCCGCGGUAAUACGGAAGGUGCAAGCGUUAAUCGGAAUUACUGGGCGUAAAGCGCGCGUAGGUGGUUUGUUAAGUUGGAUGUGAAAGCCCUGGGCUCAACCUAGGAACUGCAUCCAAAACUAACUCACUAGAGUACGAUAGAGGGAGGUAGAAUUCAUAGUGUAGCGGUGGAAUGCGUAGAUAUUAUGAAGAAUACCAGUGGCGAAGGCGGCCUCCUGGAUCUGUACUGACACUGAGGUGCGAAAGCGUGGGUAGCGAACAGGAUUAGAUACCCUGGUAGUCCACGCCGUAAACGAUGACAACUAGCUGUUGGGAGACAAUGUCUUUCAGUGGCGCAGCUAACGUUUUAAGUUGUCCGCCUGGGGAGUACGGCCGCAAGGCUAAAACUCAAAUGAAUUGACGGGGACCCGCACAAGCGGUGGAGCAUGUGGUUUAAUUCGAUGCAACGCGAAAAACCUUACCUACUCUUGACAUACUUGGAAGCUCUUGUAAUGAGAGUGUGCCUUUUGGAGCCAAGAUACAGGUGCUGCAUGGCUGUCGUCAGCUCGUGUCGUGAGAUGUUCCGUUAAGUCGGAUAACGAGCGCAACCCUUACCCUUAUUUGCCAGCGAUUCGGUCGGGAACUAUAAGGGGACUGCCGGUGAUAAACCGGAGGAAGGUGAGGACGACGUCAAGUCAUCAUGGCCCUUACGAGUAGGGCUACACACGUGCUACAAUGGGGAAUACAGACGGACGCUAAGCCGCGAGGUGGUGCUAAUCCUAUAAA